AGACCACCCACUUUGUUGCAUGC
This 23-nucleotide non-coding RNA is filed under the name Arabidopsis thaliana (thale cress). Lineage: Eukaryota; Viridiplantae; Streptophyta; Magnoliopsida; Brassicales; Brassicaceae. The record is from RNAcentral.